AUUGAACGCUGGCGGCAGGCCUAACACAUGCAAGUCGAGCGGAUGAAGGGAGCUUGCUCCUGGAUUCAGCGGCGGACGGGUGAGUAAUGCCUAGGAAUCUGCCUGGUAGUGGGGGAUAACGUCCGGAAACGGGCGCUAAUACCGCAUACGUCCUGAGGGAGAAAGUGGGGGAUCUUCGGACCUCACGCUAUCAGAUGAGCCUAGGUCGGAUUAGCUAGUUGGUGGGGUAAAGGCCUACCAAGGCGACGAUCCGUAACUGGUCUGAGAGGCUGAUCAGUCACACUGGAACUGAGACACGGUCCAGACUCCUACGGGAGGCAGCAGUGGGGAAUAUUGGACAAUGGGCGAAAGCCUGAUCCAGCCAUGCCGCGUGUGUGAAGAAGGUCUUCGGAUUGUAAAGCACUUUAAGUUGGGAGGAAGGGCAGUAAGUUAAUACCUUGCUGUUUUGACGUUACCAACAGAAAAAGCACCGGCUAACUUCGUG
RNAcentral lists this ribosomal RNA (484 nucleotides) under uncultured bacterium. RNAcentral describes it as "partial 16S ribosomal RNA". It matches the Rfam family "Bacterial small subunit ribosomal RNA", at positions 30 to 507 of the family's 1533-position model. The record is from RNAcentral.